UACGUAGGGUGCGAGCGUUAAUCGGAUUUACGGGGCGUAAAGCGUGCGCAGGCGGCCCGUUAAGACAGGUGUGAAAUCCCUGGGCUCAACCUAGGAAUUGCGCUUGUGACUGGCGGGCUCGAGUACGGUAGAGGGGGGUGGAAUUCCUGGUGUAGCAGUGAAAUGCGUAGAGAUCAGGAGGAACACCGAUGGCGAAGGCAGCCCCCUGGGCCUGUACUGACGCUCAUGCACGAACGCGUGGGGAGCAAACAGG
Molecule: ribosomal RNA, 253 nt
Filed under: uncultured microorganism
Description: partial 16S ribosomal RNA
Rfam family: Bacterial small subunit ribosomal RNA
Source: RNAcentral